UCGUGGGCGACUGCGAAUCUGAGGGAAGCCGAGGGUAAAUCUCUGGCCUGACGAACAGGAAGCGGAUCAGGCAGUCACGUCAGGGUGAGCUUACAACACAAAUCAGAGCCCUAAACUGUCCGAAAGUCGUGGCUAUAAAUCCGAUAAGUAUAUGGAGAGAAAAUUUGCGUU
RNAcentral lists this non-coding RNA (171 nucleotides) under Mucilaginibacter oryzae. The record is from RNAcentral. Lineage: Bacteria; Pseudomonadati; Bacteroidota; Sphingobacteriia; Sphingobacteriales; Sphingobacteriaceae.